Non-coding RNA from Protopterus annectens (West African lungfish), 73 nucleotides. The record is from the annotation of a RefSeq genome assembly. NCBI's taxonomy places the organism in Eukaryota, Metazoa, Chordata, Ceratodontiformes, Protopteridae.
GGUUCCAUAGUGUAAUGGUUAUCACAUCUAUUUCACAUGCAGAAGGUCCUGGUUUCAAUCCCCAGUGGAAUCA